AGCAGCCGCGGUAAUUCCAGCUCCAAUAGCGUAUAUUAAAGUUGUUGCAGUUAAAAAGCUCGUAGUUGAAUUUCGGGAUCAAGUCGUCGGUCGUGCUCAGGUACGUACUGGCGUCAUUGAUUUCUCCCUUCUGACGAACCAUGAUGUCAUUAAUUUGGUGUUAUGGGAAAUCAGGACUGUUACUUUGAAAAAAUUAGAGUGUUUAAAGCAGGCUCACGCUUGAAUACAUUAGCAUGGAAUAAUGAAAUAGGACGUUCGAUCCUAUUUUGUUGGUUUUAGGAUCAACGUAAUGAUUAAUAGGGAUAGUUGGGGGCAUUAGUAUUCAAUUGUCAGAGGUGAAAUUCUUGGAUUUAUUGAAGACUAACUACUGCGAAAGCAUUUGCCAAGGAUGUUUUCAUUAAUCAAGAACGAAAGU
RNAcentral lists this ribosomal RNA (415 nucleotides) under uncultured Glomus. RNAcentral describes it as "SSU rRNA". It matches the Rfam family "Eukaryotic small subunit ribosomal RNA", at positions 569 to 990 of the family's 1831-position model. The record is from RNAcentral. Lineage: Eukaryota; Fungi; Glomeromycota; Glomeromycetes; Glomerales; Glomeraceae.